Molecule: ribosomal RNA, 253 nt
Filed under: uncultured bacterium
Lineage: Bacteria
Description: partial 16S ribosomal RNA
Rfam family: Bacterial small subunit ribosomal RNA
Source: RNAcentral
GACGUAGGGCGCGAGCGUUGUCCGGAUUUAUUGGGCGUAAAGAGCUCGUAGGCGGCUUGUCGCGUCGACUGUGAAAACUUGGGGCUCAACCCCGGACUUGCAGUGGGUACGGGCAGACUAGAGUGUGGUAGGGGAGACUGGAAUUCCUGGUGUAGCGGUGAAAUGCGCAGAUAUCAGGAGGAACACCGAUGGCGAAGGCAGGUCUCUGGGCCACUACUGACGCUGAGAAGCGAAAGCGUGGGGAGCGAACAGG